AGUGCCUCCACAGAGGCAAUGCUAACACAAAGGAACAAGCACAAGCUCAGCUCUGGUUAUGGAACAGGAGUCUCCCUGUCCUCCUCAUAACUGAAUUCAUGCCAGUAAGCCAGGAAAGGAGUGCAAGAGAGCCCAGGCCCAGAGCUGUUUGACUCUUGCCUGCCUGAGAGCUGUUGUGAGUCAGCCAGAGAGACGGACGGAGAGGACCAUAAUUCUCAGGAUGGCAGCAUCCUUGGUGCUGUCCCGUCCAGCAAUUAAACAACACCUUUCAAGAUUUACAGGUCCAGAAAAUAAGACAGGCUGUGGCUUCCCCAUGGAUUCCUUUGGACCUGCUGGCAGAGAGACAGGCUUUGAAAGGGAAAAUAAAACCUUCCUUGUCCAGAACCAUGUAGUCUGCAUGAUCUGAAAGACAAGAUGGGACACCGUGUCUGGAUCUAUUACCACCCUACAAAAACUACCAUUAGGAAAACAGAA
Cyanistes caeruleus (blue tit) is the source of this 474-nucleotide long non-coding RNA. RefSeq lists it as uncharacterized. NCBI's taxonomy places the organism in Eukaryota, Metazoa, Chordata, Aves, Passeriformes, Paridae. The record is from RefSeq and is a predicted model, not a curated record.